AGAAAACCACCCAAGUCCCGUUUGAAAUUGGAGAUGGAGGUGGACAGAUUUAGCAACUUACCAAGUGAUGUUAUAGAAAUUUUUUUGUCAUGUUUGCCCAUUAGAGAGGCAGUGAGGACAAGUGUUUUAUCAACCAAGUGGAGAUACAGAUCGGCUAUGCUUCCUCAUCUUGUGUUUGAUGAUCAGUGUGUCUCAAUACGAGAGAAUAUAACCUUUGUGAACAUUGUUGAUCAUGUACUCCUAGGUCACAUUGGCCCCAUUCACAAGUUUGAGCUUUCUGGUGGAGAUUGUCUAGACAAUUGGGAUAUUGAUCGAUGGAUUCUUCAUCUGUCAAGAAACUCUAUCAAAGAAUUCAUAUUUAAAAAUUGGGGAACUUGCCCCUACAGAAUUCCUUCAUAUUUGUUUUCUUGUCAAGAUAUGAUUCAUUUAGAGUUACUUAUAUGUGUGCUAAAACCUCCAUCAACAUUCAAAGGCUUCAGGAAUUUGAAAAACCGUCUUCUUAAGGGUGUUACCCUGGACCAAGAUGUGCUCCAAAAUCUAAUUGCUUGCUGUCCUCUGCUUGAAAAGUUGACUUUGUCAAUUCCCACUUUCACCCAUCUCAAGAUUGAUGCACCAAAUCUCCAAUUCCUUGACGUUGAAGGUGAUUUUGAGGAUGUUACUUUUGAGAAUACCUUAAAUCUGGUUGAUGUUCGCAUUUGUAUCUACCCUCACGGAAGAACAUGGGUUUGUGAAAAUAGCAAUUUGGUCAAGUUUUUGGUUCAGCUGCCUCUUGUCCAGAGGCUAAAGAUUGGGAGAUAUUUUUUGCAGAUUUUGGUUGUUGGCUCCUUGUCACCAAUGCUUCCUAAACCAUGCCUAUAUUUGAAAUUUCUUUCCGUAAUGGUAAACUUUAAUGAUCCGGCGGAGGUUUUAACUGUCCUAUGCCUCCUGAGAAGCUCCCCUGCUGUCCAAGAACUAUAAAUUUCUGCCCACCAAGAGGUUCAGGCUGCUUUGUCAGAAGUGAACUCUUUAUAUGGCAACUGUAUUUUCCCAUUCACCCAACUGCGACUUGUCAAAAUAUCCUACAUCUUUGAUCUCAAAACUGAAUUAGAUUUCAUCAGAUUUCUGCUUUUAAAUUCUCCUGUGCUCGAGAAGAUGAUUGUUACACCUGAUGAUGCCAGUGAUUCUCUGGAGCUCAUUAAACAGUUUCUCCGGUUAGGGCGUGCCUCAGUGCAUUCAGAGAUAAUCUUCUUGGACCCAGAUUCAUGAGGGAACUUUAGCAGCUAAGACAGGAGGACUUGCUUGAAGAAAUGAAUGUGGUUUUGGACUGUUGGGAACAAGUCUUUUUGUUAUAUGCCUGCCUCUUUUCUUAACUGGUUGUCUCAUACUUGCAAUUCUCUUUGUGGAGGCAUAUGGUGUUUAAAGUUAAUUCGCUUGGGGAUUAGGAAUUAGAUAUAUCUGAGUUCAUUUGACAAUUUACAUCCUUAUUGAAACAAAGUUUGCAGGGCAGAACAAUGUCUC
Molecule: non-coding RNA, 1497 nt
Organism: Prunus mume (Japanese apricot)
Lineage: Eukaryota; Viridiplantae; Streptophyta; Magnoliopsida; Rosales; Rosaceae
Source: RefSeq, a predicted model, not a curated record